Molecule: ribosomal RNA, 314 nt
Filed under: Staphylococcus capitis
Lineage: Bacteria; Bacillati; Bacillota; Bacilli; Caryophanales; Staphylococcaceae
Description: partial 23S ribosomal RNA
Rfam family: Bacterial large subunit ribosomal RNA
Source: RNAcentral
ACCGCAUGCAUGUGAUACCUGGUAGGGGUUGUGUGUGCGGGGUUGUGGGAGUUGUACUUGCCGGUUCUACCAGGCCGGCGGACAGUAAAAAAGUGUCGUGAUUAGCGGAAGUGGUCUGGGACGGCCCGCCGCAGACGGUGAGAGUCCGGUACGCGAAAAUCCGACACCUGUCUCGUACUUCAUCCCGAGUAGCAGCGGGCUCGUGGAAUCUGCUGUGAAUCUGCCGGGACCACCCGGUAAGCCUAAAUACUCUCUAGUGACCGAUAGCGGAUUAGUACCGUGAGGGAAAGGUGAAAAGAACCCCGGAAGGGGAG